Molecule: ribosomal RNA, 292 nt
Filed under: uncultured bacterium
Lineage: Bacteria
Description: partial 16S ribosomal RNA
Rfam family: Bacterial small subunit ribosomal RNA
Source: RNAcentral
GUGCCAGCCGCCGCGGUAAAACGUAGGACACAAGCGUUAUCCGGAGUUACUGGGCGUAAAGGGCGUGUAGGCGGAUUUGUAAGUCUACUCUGAAAGCUUCUGGCUAAACUGGAAGAGGCGAGUGGAGACUGCAAGUCUAGAGUGAGGAAGAGGAAAGUGGAAUUCCGCGUGUAGUGGUGAAAUGCGUAGAGAUGCGGAGGAACACCAGUGGCGAAAGCGGCUUUCUGGUCCUUAACUGACGCUGAGGCGCGAAAGCAUGGGGAGCGAACGGGAUUAGAAACCCUCGUAGUCC